Molecule: ribosomal RNA, 403 nt
Filed under: uncultured bacterium
Lineage: Bacteria
Description: partial 16S ribosomal RNA
Rfam family: Bacterial small subunit ribosomal RNA
Source: RNAcentral
AUUGAACGCUGGCGGCAGGCCUAACACAUGCAAGUCGCGCGAGCGGCGGACGGGUGAGGACUGUAUGGGGACUGCCCGAUAGAGGGGGAUAACUACUGGAAACGGUAGCUCAUACCGCAUACAAUCGGAGAAGCCAGAUGGGAUUAGCUAGUAGGUGAGGUAAUGGCUCACCUAGGCGACGAUCCCUAGCUGGUCUGCGAGGAUGAUCCGCCACACUGGGACUGCGACACGGCCCAGACUCCUACGGAGGCAGCAGUGGGGAAUAGUGCACAAUGGGCGCAAGCCUGAUGCAGCCAUGCCGCGUGUAUGAAGAAGGCCCUAGGGUUGUAAAGUACUUUCAGUCGGGAGGCGUUACCGACAGAAGAAGCACCGGCUAACUCCGUGCCAGCAGCCGCGGUAAUAC